GACGAACGCUGGCGGCGUGCUUAACACAUGCAAGUCGAACGGAAAGGCCCUGCUUUUGUGGGGUGCUCGAGUGGCGAACGGGUGAGUAACACGUGAGUAACCUGCCCUUGACUUUGGGAUAACUUCAGGAAACUGGGGCUAAUACCGGAUAGGAGCUCCUGCUGCAUGGUGGGGGUUGGAAAGUUUCGGCGGUUGGGGAUGGACUCGCGGCUUAUCAGCUUGUUGGUGGGGUAGUGGCUUACCAAGGCUUUGACGGGUAGCCGGCCUGAGAGGGUGACCGGCCACAUUGGGACUGAGAUACGGCCCAGACUCCUAUGGGAGGCAGCAGUGGGGAAUAUUGCACAAUGGGCGGAAGCCUGAUGCAGCAACGCCGCGUGCGGGAUGACGGCCUUCGGGUUGUAAACCGCUUUCGCCUGAGACGAAGCGUGAGUGACGGUAAUGGGUAAAGAAGCACCGGCUAACUACGUG
RNAcentral lists this ribosomal RNA (468 nucleotides) under uncultured bacterium. Its description in RNAcentral is "partial 16S ribosomal RNA". It matches the Rfam family "Bacterial small subunit ribosomal RNA", at positions 28 to 507 of the family's 1533-position model. The record is from RNAcentral.